GUAGGUGGCAAGCGUUGUCCGGAAUUAUUGGGCGUAAAGCGCGCGCAGGCGGUUCUUUAAGUCUGAUGUGAAAGCCCACGGGCUCAACCGUGGAGGGUCAUUGGAAACUGGAGAACUUGAGUACAGAAGAGGAAAGCGGAAUUCCACGUGUAGCGGUGAAAUGCGUAGAGAUGUGGAGGAACACCAGUGGCGAAGGCGGCUUUCUGGUCUGUAACUGACGCUGAGGCGCGAAAGCGUGGGGAGCAAACAGGAUUAGAUACCCUGGUAGUCCACGCCGUAAGCGAUGAGUGCUAAGUGUUAGGGGGUUUCCGCCCCUUAGUGCUGCAGCUAACGCAUUAAGCACUCCGCCUGGGGAGUACGGCCGCAAGGCUG
Molecule: ribosomal RNA, 372 nt
Filed under: uncultured organism
Description: partial 16S ribosomal RNA
Rfam family: Bacterial small subunit ribosomal RNA
Source: RNAcentral